This is a small nuclear RNA of Neogale vison (American mink), 139 nucleotides long. RefSeq annotates it as U4 spliceosomal RNA. NCBI's taxonomy places the organism in Eukaryota, Metazoa, Chordata, Mammalia, Carnivora, Mustelidae. The transcript has a single exon. The record is from RefSeq and is a predicted model, not a curated record.
AGCUUUGCGCAGUGGCAGUAUCGUAGCCAAUGAGGUUUAUCCGAGGCGCGAUUAUUGCUAAUAGAAAUUCCUCUAAAAAUUGGUUUUAUGAUAAGAAGCAUUAUUCUUAUUGGUGGCCGUACUGGAAAUGUCAGGGAUG